RNAcentral lists this small RNA (171 nucleotides) under Drosophila guanche. Lineage: Eukaryota; Metazoa; Arthropoda; Insecta; Diptera; Drosophilidae. The record is from RNAcentral.
AAUUGGCGCUGGUCUCUGUGACGGCUUCUUUGGCAUCUGUGCUGCUCUGUGCUGUUGCAAUUGUAGUGACUGUGGCAGCUACGGUUGCAGCUGCAGCGACUGUUGCUGCUGCCGCUGCUGUGGUUGUUGUUGUCGGCGGACUGCCAACACAAUUGACAGCCGUUGAGACAA